Molecule: ribosomal RNA, 278 nt
Filed under: uncultured Acetitomaculum sp.
Lineage: Bacteria; Bacillati; Bacillota; Clostridia; Lachnospirales; Lachnospiraceae
Description: partial 16S ribosomal RNA
Rfam family: Bacterial small subunit ribosomal RNA
Source: RNAcentral
GCAGCCGCGGUAAUACGGAAGGUCCAGGCGUUAUCCGGAUUCAUUGGGUUUAAAGGGAGCGUAGGCCGCCUUUUAAGCGUGUUGUGAAAUGUAGGGGCUCAACCCCUGCACUGCAGCGCGAACUGGAGGGCUUGAGUACACACAAAGUAGGCGGAAUUCAUGGUGUAGCGGUGAAAUGCUUAGAUAUCAUGAAGAACCCCGAUUGCGAAGGCAGCUUACUGGAGUGUAACUGACGCUGAAGCUCGAAAGCGCGGGUAUCGAACAGGAUUAGAUACCCC